AGUGAUUCUAUUAUUAUUACGGCAGAGUACGUUCUGAAGGUAAGACAGCCUUCUAUUUCGGCUGUUUUCAUCGCUGCUGUUCCAUAUUUUUUGGGGCGUUAACCAUCGUGCAAUGACUGAAAUAUUUACUGGAGACGACAAACAAUAUGUGAUCCGCCCAAUAAAAGGAAAAGGCCAAGGACGGGACACGCUUACAUUCGACGUGAAAUGCCAAAAUGACGCUCAUAUUGCAUUGCUCAGCAGCGAAGAAAUUACGUCACCCAUGAUUGAAAUUUUCAUCGGUGGAUGGGGUAACCAGAAAUCGGCCAUUCGUUUCAAUCAAAGCCGGCCCGAUAAGGCUGAAGAACCAACGCCGGAUGUUGUCUGCUGCGAAGAGUACCGUCGUUUCUGGAUUCGCUUCCAUCAGAACGUUAUUCAAGUUGGAAGAGAGGGGGAUGCAGAUCCGUUUCUCAGUUGGGAAAACACAGAAGAGCCGUUCAACGUGACUCACUUUGCCUUCGCAACCGGUUGGGGUUCCGUAGGAACUUGGAUCUUUGACGACGAGGAGCAAUCUUCGUCGUCGUCUUCUUCUUCGUCGGAGGAGGAAGACCCUGAAAAGAUCCGCCAGCGGGGUAAGAAGCCGUUCUAUCGUCGCCCGGGAGUCUGGUUAGAUAUGAAAGAUGGGAAAGUUCCGAUGAGGGCUGUCAUUGGUGGAGUUGACGCAUCGGGAGAGAAAAUCUACGUUGGUCGUGUCAAAAAAGACGGGACUCUUCUGCCCGGAAAAAUUGUUCCCUCACAUAACUGUUGCUACGUGGCAAAAGGCGGUGAAGAAUUCGGCUCCUCAAAAUACCAGGUUUUAGUUCGCAACAAAUGCUGUGAACUAAUUUGGGUCCCCGCAAGUGAUGGAAGUAUUCCAUUUGGAGCGCUUCAAGGAGGAUUUUCGACCGACAAAGAAUCGGUCUUUAUUGGGCGAGUAGUGCACGACGGAGCCACUUCAAUUGGAUUGGUGCAUCCAUCACGUGGAAUUUGCUUGUGCACUUAUGGAGGAGAGGAGAUUAGUCAUAACGACUACGAAGUUCUCGUUGUCAAAACUAUCCCACUUUAAACUUGGUGUUGACUGAAUCUGUGAUAAUUGGCAUCUUUCAUUAGGCAUUUACAAAUGCGCCAGUAAUAAAUUGGCAACAAUGUAAUCAUGUCAAAAACAAAAAACAAAUACUUGUUUACUCUUUAAGCCGAAUUCGAAGCAGUGACCGCAGCUGGCGUUGCUGAAUAGGAUCUUUGUUUAACGAGGUAGUUCAGUUUAUUUUCUAUAUCUUCCUGCCAAGACUAAGUUAAACAUUAUCGCCAAUUAGAAAGAUAAAAUCAUAAACAUAGUGCACUUAUUACCUGAUCGAUAUUUAGAUGUUCAACAGGUAGUAGAGCUUUUUCAAGUAAAUCAACAUUUCGCUUUUUAACACUGUCAGUUUCCAUUUUGAGUAAAGACAGAAUACAUUUGAGUGAGCCUUC
This 1485-nucleotide unclassified non-coding RNA is filed under the name Daphnia pulicaria. RNAcentral describes it as "uncharacterized LOC124327227, transcript variant X1". Lineage: Eukaryota; Metazoa; Arthropoda; Branchiopoda; Diplostraca; Daphniidae. The record is from RNAcentral.